GGGACUGCUCUUUAGCAGAGAGAAGCUAAUAAUUAACUACCUAAUAUAUCAUUUUUAUUCAUAAAUUUGAAAAAUCGAUCAGCUCAAAUACUAGGUUAUGUGCCCCAUAACUCUCCUCAGCCCACUCUAGGUAAUUUGUAAAAUGAAUAGCACAGAAAUGAUAGAACGGUGAUUAUUUAAUCUAAAAAGGCAAUUAUGUAUGUCUUACUAAAUACAACAUGAUAGAGUAGUAAUAUUAUUCCUAUUAAAUAAUAGUAAAUAAUCACAAAAAACCAUUUUCAUUUAAUUAUAUUUUGAGUGUCAAAAAAUUGACAUUAACUUGGUUUAGUGUCUAUUUCUCCACUAUAAAAGAAUAUAGUUUAAGUAAAAGAAUAUAGUUUAAGUAAAAAUUGGGCUACAAGCUCUAUAAACCAUUAAUAAUAUGUAUAAUGUUAAUAUUUCAGUGCCCCUGCCUAGGAGCUUUUUAUAGAUGUAUCUUUCUACUAUGCUACCAUAGUAGAAUUUGAUAAUUUUAAUGCAUAAAAUAAAAUUUCAUGAAAAAUAAAAUUGUUAAGUAGCAAUAGAAAUAAAAUUACUACUAUCAAGACAAAUAUAUGACAUAUGUGUGUUAAAUUUAUAGGUAUUUCAUAAGCAGUCAUAUAGGAUUUCUAUGAAUAAAGUCUCUUUUUCAGGAUCUUGGUGACAUUGUAUGAGGGCAAAGAAACCUAGUGAUUCAUGCCUUCCGAGUUUUGAAGUAGCAUAUACACAAUAUUGCUACACUGUUUAUGCAAUUUCAACAUAUUACCCAAAUAGAAUUAUGAUUUUUUUGUAAUUCAAUUUGUCCUCAAGGUUUCAUUUUUCCAUCAGUGAUAUAUUGGAAAACUCCUCUAGGCAAUAAAUAUACACAGGAUGGGUUGUAAUUUUCUGUUUCUAAAGUAAUAUGUUUGGUAACUGUCAGUGUCCCCAGAUCAGUUUGGAUGUCCAUAGGGAAAGUAUUUAUUUGCACAUUAAACAUAAGUAGUCUAUGUUGUAUACAUACUCUUUUUAGUUUUCCUUAUGAGGAUGUUCAUGUAACUGUUGCUAAACCAGUGUCAUUUUCUCCCUAAAGAAUAUCAUUUCUUUGGUUUGCGUUGCAAGUUGAUGUCCUCAUUCUGCUCUUAAUUAGAUAUGAGUCUUUGAGUUGAUCAUAUAUGUUCAUUUACUUCAGCUGCACAAGGAGAGAAAUUAUACCUGCAGGAGAGGCUGCUAGGAGGAUCAGAUAUGUAUGCAGGAGCUUUGCUAACUAGAAACUCAUCCAUAAACCAGAGUUGUUUCUCUUUUACAUGUUCCAGCACAUAACAAUUAAAUAUAUAUUUUUCCCCUUGAGAAUUAUAUUUUAGCAAUAUUUUUCAUUAUGCUCUAUUUUUGUAGCUAUUGUAUACUCAUUGCCUUUAAGAUCACUCAGUGACAGCUUCCCUCCUCCUUCCCCAACCUCCUGCCCCACAUACUUCUCUUUCUAUCCUUCCUCUUUUGUGAAAGAAACAAUUAUCUUCUUUAGGCCACUAAGGAACCAUGGACCUAUUUACUUUGUCAAAAUCCAGCAGAGUGCAUAAUGCAUAGUAAUCACUCAAUAAAAUAGUUUUGAUUCUUUCUUUAAUUAACUAAUAUAUGAAUAGGUGAGUAAAUAGAGAAAUUCUUAACAGUUACAUCUAAGCAAGGAUUAUAUAGACUUAAUCUCCCCUGUCAUCAAACUAAACUUUCUGAGAGGAAAUAUCAACAACAACAAAUACCAUGAAGAAGUAUAGGAGGAAAGAGUCUGGAAUGUGCCGCCACUAUAGAAAAGCGAAGACCAUCUUUUGGAGUAAAAUGGGAGAUGACUGGCUCUUUUGAUAGCAGAGGAAGGGUUAAUAUCGUUUUUUAAAUUUGACCUCAGGUAUAAAUUGUGACUCUAAUGUUAAUCAUUAUAAAAUAGAAGCAUCACAUUUCAUAAAUUUAGUUGACCUGUUUCUACUACCCAGAGCCAUGUUCCAUAAAGAACAGCUCCACAAAGUGCACAUUUCUAGAGAGCCUUUUCUGGACUUUUUACAAAUUAAGUCUCUUGUCGUACAAGCUACCGUUCAUGAGCUGUCUGCCAUGAAGCCUUAAAAAUAAUGAUGCAGAUGUUUGAGUCGGUAAAUAGUCCAUCUCUCUUUUAGACAACCUAGUAUAUAAAUAAAAUUGUACGCCCUCCCACUCCUUUACACCGUGCUUAGAUCACAAUAUCAAUUCGCACAAGGAAAUGGAUGUUCUAGGAACUGGACAUACAAAUAUAUUAUGUCUUCUCUUUGAAAUGAGUAAAGGAAAGGGAACUAAUAAUAGUGUGACAUUGUUGCUACUCACUAACGACAGCCUGGAAUAAAUAAAAAAAAAGUCUUCCUUUUGUUGUCCUGAUGGUGAGAUAUGACUGGCUUUCAUAAUGCUAGAGGUACAAAUGUCCUCAUAUUUUAAAAAUGUUUGAUAAGAUCCUUAUCUCUCAUAUAUUUCAGUUGAGGUAUUUUAUGCCUUGUAUUGCAUCUAAUAGGCCUAUCCACAAAUGAAGAGUAUAUGAGGGGAAAGAUGAACAUCACUUCAUAACGAGACAUUGAGAUAAAUCCUCCUAAAUUAUGAAAGUUUCCAAAUGCAUAUGGCCUUUUUAUUCAUGGCUUUUUCUAUUCAAAUAUCAAAGUGCUUCAAGUGGCUUUGAUGACAUACUUAUGAAUUCAUGAAAGUGUUUUUCAUAAUGUGCUCACCUUUGGGGCUGAGAGGUUAUGCAGAUUGCUUUUAUUUGCUUGGCUGGAAAAGAAGAGCUAAGAGUGUGUUGCAGACACAUCACACUUUAGAACAAUUUCUUACAUUGUCCUAAGCUACUUUUCACAAACUUGCUGGAAUUCUUUACUCAAACUUCAGGCAAUGGUAAGAAUAAAUGUCAAAUAUUAUUAGUUCCAGAGUAUAACUACUAGUUUUGGUUUCGACUGCACAGUACAUAGAAAAACCUUGGAACAUUUCCAGUUAUCUUCACUAUCAUUUAGUCCUUAAAACCCA
RNAcentral lists this long non-coding RNA (3018 nucleotides) under Sus scrofa (pig). RNAcentral describes it as "lncRNA (ENSSSCG00030029266.1)". The record is from RNAcentral. Lineage: Eukaryota; Metazoa; Chordata; Mammalia; Artiodactyla; Suidae.